CAGCAGCCGCGGUAAUACAGAGGGUGCGAGCGUUAAUCGGAUUUACUGGGCGUAAAGCGUGCGUAGGCGGCUUUUUAAGUCGGAUGUGAAAUCCCUGAGCUUAACUUAGGAAUUGCAUUCGAUACUGGGAAGCUAGAGUAUGGGAGAGGAUGGUAGAAUUCCAGGUGUAGCGGUGAAAUGCGUAGAGAUCUGGAGGAAUACCGAUGGCGAAGGCAGCCAUCUGGCCUAAUACUGACGCUGAGGUACGAAAGCAUGGGGAGCAAACAGGAUUAGAUACCCGGGUAGUCCCUGUCUCUUAUAA
This 301-nucleotide ribosomal RNA is filed under the name uncultured bacterium. RNAcentral describes it as "partial 16S ribosomal RNA". It matches the Rfam family "Bacterial small subunit ribosomal RNA", at positions 509 to 809 of the family's 1533-position model. The record is from RNAcentral.